GCGGCGGCUUACACAUGCAAGUCGAGCGGUAACAGAGAUAGCUUGCUAUCUGCUGACGAGCGGCGGACGGGUGAGUAAUGCUUGGGAAUAUGCCUUUGAGUGGGGGACAACAGUUGGAAACGACUGCUAAUACCGCAUAACGUCUACGGACCAAAGGGGGGGAUGCUUCGGCACCUCUCGCUCAUUGAUUAGCCCAAGUGAGAUUAGCUAGUUGGUAAGGUAAUGGCUUACCAAGGCGACGAUCUCUAGCUGGUUUGAGAGGAUGAUCAGCCACACUGGGACUGAGACACGGCCCAGACUCCUACGGGAGGCAGCAGUGGGGAAUAUUGCACAAUGGGCGAAAGCCUGAUGCAGCCAUGCCGCGUGUGUGAAGAAGGCCUUCGGGUUGUAAAGCACUUUCAGCGAGGAGGAAAGGUUAGUAGUUAAUAGCUGCUAGCUGUGACGUUACUCGCAGAAGAAGCACCGGCUAACUUCGUGCCAGCAGCCGCGGUAAUACGAGGGGUGCAAGCGUUAAUCGGAAUUACUGGGCGUAAAGCGUGAGUAGGUGGUUUGUUAAGCAAGAUGUGAAAGCCCCGGGCUCAACCUGGGAACUGCAUUUUGAACUGGCAAAC
RNAcentral lists this ribosomal RNA (611 nucleotides) under uncultured bacterium. Its description in RNAcentral is "bacterial SSU rRNA". It matches the Rfam family "Bacterial small subunit ribosomal RNA", at positions 39 to 641 of the family's 1533-position model. The record is from RNAcentral.